This is a non-coding RNA of Pelobates cultripes (western spadefoot toad), 103 nucleotides long. Lineage: Eukaryota; Metazoa; Chordata; Amphibia; Anura; Pelobatidae. The record is from the annotation of a GenBank genome assembly.
CAGGAAAACAAAUAUGUUUUCCUGGCACUAUAGUGCCAGGAAAACGAGUAUGUUUUCCUGGCACUAUAGUGCCAGGAAAACGAGUAUGUUUUCCUGGCACUAU